RNAcentral lists this unclassified non-coding RNA (165 nucleotides) under uncultured Chaetothyriales. RNAcentral describes it as "sequence contains ITS2". The record is from RNAcentral. Lineage: Eukaryota; Fungi; Ascomycota; Eurotiomycetes; Chaetothyriales.
UCACCAUAUCAAGCAUGGCUUGUUGUUGGGCCCUUUGUCACCGGGUGACAGGUCCGAAAGACAAUGACCGGUGUCAUCCAGACCCCCGAUGCGACGAGCUUAUCACAGCAUGCAUCUGGUGGUUGUGUGGCCCGCUGGAAGCCUCUGGCACCCCCUCUUUCUCCA